Molecule: ribosomal RNA, 253 nt
Filed under: uncultured bacterium
Lineage: Bacteria
Description: partial 16S ribosomal RNA
Rfam family: Bacterial small subunit ribosomal RNA
Source: RNAcentral
UACGUAGGGACCAAGCGUUGUUCGGAUUUACUGGGCGUAAAGGGCGCGUAGGCGGCGCAACAAGUCACUUGUGAAAUCUCCGGGCUUAACCCGGAGCGGCCAAGUGAUACUGUCGUGCUAGAGUGCGGAAGGGGCUACUGGAAUUCCCGGUGUAGAGGUGAAAUUCGUAGAUAUCGGGAGGAACACCAGUGGCGAAGGCGGCUCUCUGGGCAGAUACUGACGCUGAGACGCGAAAGCGUGGGGAGCAAACAGG